AACGAACGCUGGCGGCAUGCCUAACACAUGCAAGUCGAACGAGACCUUCGGGUCUAGUGGCGCACGGGUGCGUAACGCGUGGGAAUCUGCCCUUAGGUACGGAAUAACUCAGGGAAACUUGAGCUAAUACCGUAUAAUGACUCCGGUCCAAAGAUUUAUCGCCUAAGGAUGAGCCCGCGUCGGAUUAGCUAGUUGGUGAGGUAAAAGCUCACCAAGGCGACGAUCCGUAGCUGGCUGAGAGGAUGAUCAGCCACACUGGGACUGAGACACGGCCCAGACUCCUACGGGAGGCAGCAGUGGGGAAGUAUUGGACAAUGGGCGAAAGACCUGAUCCAGCAAUAGCCGCGUGAGUGAUGAAGGCCUUAGGG
Molecule: ribosomal RNA, 368 nt
Filed under: uncultured bacterium
Lineage: Bacteria
Description: bacterial SSU rRNA
Rfam family: Bacterial small subunit ribosomal RNA
Source: RNAcentral